Molecule: long non-coding RNA, 3596 nt
Filed under: Canis lupus familiaris (dog)
Lineage: Eukaryota; Metazoa; Chordata; Mammalia; Carnivora; Canidae
Description: lncRNA (ENSCAFG00845014914.1)
Source: RNAcentral
CAAACCUUCAGGUUUUAGUAUAUGAUAUUAGGACUCAUGGAGUGGAAGAAACUUCGUAUUAAGGUUUUGAAUUGUUGAAACACUUUGAAUUGUUGAAACAAGUUAAUGGAAUUUUUAGAGUUAUAGAUAUUAAAGAUACUGUAUUUUUUUAAAACGAUUUAUUUAUUUAUCUAUUCAUGAGAGACACAGAGGGAAGGCAGAGGAAGAUGCAGGCUCCCCUUGGGGAGCCUUGUGGGACUUCAUCCCAGGACCCCGAGGAUCAAGGCAGAAGGCAGACUCUCAACCACUGAGCCACUCAGGCAUCCCUAAAGAUAUUGUAUUUAUUUUUUUCAUUUGACAAAGAGUAUCUGCUCUGGUCCCAAGUCCCUAACCUACCUUCAAGGAGCUUAUAGUAUUGCAUGGAAGUCAUAGAGCAGGCCAAAAUAUAAAGAGAUAAAUAUUAUAGUCAGACACAUGCAUAGAGCCCUGUGGGGGACAGGAAAACUGUAUGUGUAUGAGACUUCAGGGGAGUCAGAGAAGGCUUUUGGAAGAAUGUUUGCUUUAACUGAAUUUUGAAAGCAAGUAGAAAUUAAUUGGUGAGGAUGGAGGAUAAGGUAUUCUAGGCGCAAGAAGGAAGUGAGGCCAAACUGACAGAAACAAAAUGGAUUCUUAAUGUAUUAAGGGGAAGACAGAGAGAUGAAGUUUAAUAUGUAAACAAGGGGCCCAUAAUGAUAGGCCCUCUUUCCUACUGUGUUAAAGAUUUUUAACUUUAUCUUCAAGGCUGUGGUAAUCCAUUGGUAAGAGAUUUUAAGUUGAAGAAAGUUAAGUCAGUUUCAUGUGGCAAGGUGAUGGAUGAAUUGUAGUGCAGCAAGGCCCAUUUGCUUUUUUUUUUUUUAAGCUUUUAUAUAUUUACUUGAGAGAGAGCGGGAGAGAGCAAGCACAGAGGCAGAGGGAGAAGCAGGCUCCCCAGUGAGCAGAGAGCCCCAUGUAGGGCUCCAUCCCAGGACCUUGAGAUCAUGACCUGAGCUGAAGGUAGACACUUAACCAACUGAGCCACCCAAGUGUCCCAGUAAGGCCCAUUUGUGAAAGCAUAAUAUGGUAGAGCUCCAGAUUAGCAGGGGUGUUUGAGAGACUAGGAUGGAUCCAAAGUAUGUGAAGAUGAUGAAAUUGGGUGUCCAGUUUGAUAUGGGGAUAAAGAAAAGGUGGAGUCAAGAUGCCUCCUAGCUUUAUGACUUCCCAAGGUGAGAACCCCCUGAGGAUUAUCAGGUGACUAAGAUGAGUCUUGGAUAUGCCUCUGGGUCACACAGUUGGUGCUGUUCUGUGGGCAGUUGGCUCCAUUGGUCUGGGGAAUGAGGAAAGGAUUUUAUACAAUAUAGAGGUGAGGAUGUUAUCAACAUGUAGGUAAUAGUAGAAACAGUGUAAAUGGUUGUAGAUACCUAAGAGAGUUUGUUGAGUAAGAAAGAAUAAAACAGAAGAGAAGCUCUCGGAAGCACCAUCAUAAGGAAGAUGUACAAUGAAAAACAAUGAGAGGGAACAGCCUAAUGGACAUUGGAGCUCUAGAAGAAAAGGAGAAAGAAAAUUUCAGAGAAUGAAUGGUCAACUGUCAAACACUGGAGACAUUGAAGAGAGAACUCACUAGAAAUUUUAGAGAAGGUCUAUAAGAUAGACAAGAGUCAUUAGUUUAGGAGCACCUGGGUGGCUGAGUUGGUUGUGUCCAACUUUUGAUUUCUGCUCAGGUCAUGAUCUCAGGGUCCUGGAAUAGAGUCCCUAUUGGGCUCUGAGCUCAGCAGGGAGUCUGCUUGAGGAUUCUCUUGCUCUCCCUCUGCCCCUCCCCUCUCCAUGCACUCUCAUAUAAAUAAAUCUUUUAAAAAUAAGAAUUAUUAAUUUGUAAUGUUUUUAGUUCAUGGAAUUGUGUGACUUUCUGUAACAAAAAUCAGUAAAUCCAGAGAUUUUGAAUAGUUGGAAUGAUCUAGUACUUGGACUUUGUUUUGUGCAUGAUAGGAAUGCGUUGGAGCUCAAAGUAUUAGCAAGACGAUGGUUGAAGUGAUGGAAUGUGAGAUUUAGAUGGCAUGGAGGUGGUGAACCAAGCAGGAGGAGGCUGAAUGAUUGAAAGAGAAUAAUUGGUUCAAGGGUGCUUGGCUGGCCCAGUUGGAAGAGCAUGUGACUCUUGAUCUCAGGAUCAUGAGUUCAAGCCCCACGUUGGAUGUAGAGAUUACUAAAAAAUAAAUAAACUUGAAAAAAUAACUGGUUCAAGGGAUUAGACGUUGGGUUGAGGUAAGUAUACAAGUGUAUGUAGGUAUAAGGGAGAUAGCUGAUAGAAGUAUUCUGGACUCAGAGAAGAAUAUUGGAGUUGACAAUUUUAAGAUGCUAAUAGAAUGUAGGGUUUGGCCAUGGAUGUAUAUGGCUAAAAUGGAGUGAUGAGAUAUUCAAGAGCAAUGAGACUGAUGUGUUGAAUGAAUCACUCACCUUAGACAUGGACCCCAGAAAACCGUGGCACUCAGAAUGGAAAAGUAGACUGUGGCUGAAGUUUUCGAUGCCUGUAGAAGUGAUGAGUAUAUAUGAGGUGAAGAUACUUGCAUGACAUGCCCUCAGAGCUAUGGGGGUAAAUGGUAAGGAAAUGUUCUUCUGGGCCUUGGAGCUUAGAAUGAUGAUUGGCUUUUACUGAAGUUGCCACCAAAGGAGAGUAUAGGUUUUGUUAGGCCUAAGAAGUAGAGGGAACACCUAAUGAAGAUGCUGAGCAUCUAAUAAGAAAGUUAGUUGACCAUGGUAUCAAAGUCCAGAAGGAGAGGACAGGCUAGUGUUUACUGAAGAGGAAGGCAGAUUAGGAAGAGAUUAGACUUGGGUGUGAGUAGGGCUGAAGUGUACAGCCAGCUUUGCAGUUACAAAUAGAAGUUUGCAUGUCAGGUUUGGAUGAGGCUUCUUGUCAGCUUUAAUCUAUCAAAUCAUCCUAGUUUCUGUUUAUAGUAGGACAGCAGCUAGAGUAUUCUUUCUAAAUUUAAGAAUAACCUAUGUCUCCAGUGAAUAUUUGUUAUUUGUCAGAGAAGGAGAGGCAAUGGCCUUUUUGAUUUUUAUACUUAUUUUUGAACUUUGGACUUCCAAAAAGUCCAAAAGACUUUUCAUCACAUGUGCCAGCUCUCAUCUCUUGUUAGUAUGCCUGGAAGGUAUGUUGACCAUUUUUAGGUUAGUUCUGGGCUGAGAGGUGUGAAAAAUGCCUUGAUACUGAUGACAGUUGCUGUGAAUGUGAGAGGUGGGCAUACCUGCAUUCCCUCUGAUUUCCCUCCUGUUAUUUUAGGAUCUGGGGUCACGUUAAACAGUUUCUACAUUUCUAAGGACAGCUCCUCACUUAUUCAUAAGAUCCUAUUCCUUUCGCCUACUCAGAGAUUCGGCUCCAUUAAUCUCUCCAGCAAGAUUGUAUUUUCCCUAAUUAUUAGAUUAUUCCCUUCAGUAUGUAAACAUGUUGUUAUUUCUCCUAUCUUAGAAUAAUUACCUAUUGAUGGGAGCGCCUGGGUGGCUCAGUUGGUUAAGCAUCCAAGUCUUGAUCUCAGCUCAGGUCUUGGUCUCAGGGUCAUUGGUUCAAAUCCCACCCAACAUGGAGCCCACCAAAAAAAAAAAAAAAA